RNAcentral lists this unclassified non-coding RNA (240 nucleotides) under soil metagenome. RNAcentral's name for it is "partial contains 5.8S ribosomal RNA, internal transcribed spacer 2, and large subunit ribosomal RNA". The record is from RNAcentral.
AACCUAGCACACCUGCGGUGUGUACCUGCGGAAGGAUCAUUACACAAAUAACAUAUGAAGGCUUGUACGCGGCUGUGCCCUUCUGGGUGCAGCGUCUGCUGCGGCUGGAUUAUUUAUUUUCACCCUUGUCUUUUGCGCACUUGUUGUUUCCUGGGCGGGUUCGCCCGCCACCAGGACCACAUGAUAAACCUUUUUUAUGCAGUUGCAAUCAGCGUCAGUACAACAAAAUGUAAAUCAUUU